This is a long non-coding RNA of Branchiostoma floridae (Florida lancelet), 905 nucleotides long. RefSeq lists it as uncharacterized. The transcript has 2 exons. The record is from RefSeq and is a predicted model, not a curated record. Lineage: Eukaryota; Metazoa; Chordata; Leptocardii; Amphioxiformes; Branchiostomatidae.
UGAUUUGUGAAGGACAUGUAGGACCAGCCUGCUAGGUAGGUUACCAGCAGGCCUACUGCCCAGCUCUACAAAUGGGGUGAUUUGUGAAGGACAUGUAGGACCAGCCUGCUGGGAGUGUUACCAGCAGACAUCUGUUAGGUUUCUUCUUUAAGGACGGUUACUAUUACAUUUGGUGUUUGCCCGUGGGAUAUUUUACGUCUUGCGCAAGUGCCAUCGUUGUAACAGUUAGCACCGCGCUUCAUUGGAUAGCAGUAAGGAAGUUGAACAUAUGUUAUCCCACUUAUAUUACUGAUGUUUUUAUGUUCGAUAAUAGCACAUACGCAUCUUAUGAACGUGAUCUUACAGUUUCCAGUGAUAGGGAUCAGGAUGUGGGAGUACCACAGGCAGAAGAAAAACUCAUCCAAAAACAACAACGACCUUACUACACUGAUUAAUAUUGGGGUCACGUCUGUCCCUUGAUAAAUUGCAGGAGUGUAGGGUUACCAUUCAAGAACUACUACAUCUUUCAUCAGCCUUGAAACAGAUCCAAUUGAUAGGAUUGCUAAAACAUGUUUCUCCUGGUCAUACUUUUCUAUGACACUGUAGUACACUUAAUUUUCUGAUAGUAUAGUGGUGAACGGCCAUGUAUUAUCUGCAUAAGUGUUGUUUAUAAAGAUAUGUGUCAUUAUCCUUAACGUACUUGCUAUAUGGAUAGUUACAUAUGCAUAUGUUCUAGAUACAGUUGUCAUAACCUAACUGAGAACGGAAGAAGAUCUAAGAAACACGUUGUUACUUUACAGAUCAUAUUAAUAACCAUCUCGCGGUAUAUUAAAUGCCCAGAACCUGUGACAUGUACACCUUUUGCUCCAUAAUAGACUCUUACGUAAGUUUUGUACAUUCAGUUCCCUAGCAUUUGUUCAUAUUUA